CCAGACUCCUACGGGAGGCAGCAGUGAGGAAUAUUGGUCAAUGGGCGCGAGCCUGAACCAGCCAAGUCGCGUGAGGGAAGACGGUCCUAUGGAUUGUAAACCUCUUUUGUCGGGGAGCAAAGCGAGUCACGUGUGACUCAUUGAGAGUACCCGAAGAAAAAGCAUCGGCUAACUCCGUGCCAGCAGCCGCGGUAAUACGGAGGAUGCGAGCGUUAUCCGGAUUUAUUGGGUUUAAAGGGUGCGCAGGCGGAAUGUCAAGUCAGCGGUAAAAUUUCGGGGCUCAACCCCGUCGUGCCGUUGAAACUGGCGUUCUUGAGUGAGCGAGAAGUAUGCGGAAUGCGUGGUGUAGCGGUGAAAUGCAUAGAUAUCACGCAGAACUCCGAUUGCGAAGGCAGCAUACCGGCGCUCAACUGACGCUCAUGCACGAAAGCGUGGGUAUCGAACAGGAUUAGAUACCCCGGUACC
This 465-nucleotide ribosomal RNA is filed under the name uncultured bacterium. RNAcentral describes it as "bacterial SSU rRNA". It matches the Rfam family "Bacterial small subunit ribosomal RNA", at positions 331 to 796 of the family's 1533-position model. The record is from RNAcentral.